Molecule: ribosomal RNA, 484 nt
Filed under: uncultured bacterium
Lineage: Bacteria
Description: partial 16S ribosomal RNA
Rfam family: Bacterial small subunit ribosomal RNA
Source: RNAcentral
AUUGAACGCUGGCGGCAGGCCUAACACAUGCAAGUCGAGCGGAUGAAGGGAGCUUGCUACUGGAUUCAGCGGCGGACGGGUGAGUAAUGCCUAGGAAUCUGCCUGGUAGUGGGGGGUAACGUCCGGAAAAGGGCGCUAAUACAGCAUACGCCAUGAGGGAGAGAGAGGGGGAGCUUCGGACCUCACGCUAUCAGAUGAGCGUAGGUCGGAUUAGCUAGUUGGUGGGGUAAAGGCCUACCAAGGCGACGAUCCGUAACUGGUCUGAGAGGAUGAUCAGUCACACUGGAACUGAGACACGGUCCAGACUCCUACGGGAGGCAGCAGUGGGGAAUAUUGGACAAUGGGCGAAAGCCUGAUCCAGCCAUGCCGCGUGUGUGAAGAAGGUCUUCGGAUUGUAAAGCACUUUUAGUUGGGAGGAAGGGCAGUAAGUUAAUACCUUGCUGUUUUGACGUUACCAACAGAAUAAGCACCGGCUAACUUCGUG